This 497-nucleotide ribosomal RNA is filed under the name uncultured bacterium. Its description in RNAcentral is "partial 16S ribosomal RNA". It matches the Rfam family "Bacterial small subunit ribosomal RNA", at positions 28 to 507 of the family's 1533-position model. The record is from RNAcentral.
GAUGAACGCUGGCGGCGUGCUUAAUACAUGCAAGUCGAGCGAACAGACGAGGAGCUUGCUCCUCUGACGUUAGCGGCGGACGGGUGAGUAACACGUGGAUAACCCACCUAUAAGACUGGGAUAACUUCGGGAAACCGGAGCUAAUACCGGAUAAUAUAUUGAACCGCAUGGUUCAAUAGUGAAAGACGGUUUUGCUGUCACUUAUAGAUGGAUCCGCGCCGCAUUAGCUAGUUGGUUAGGUAACGGCUUACCAAGGCAACGAUGCGUAACCGACCUGAGGGGGUGAUCGGGCACACUGGAGCUGAGACACGGACCAGACUCCGACGGAAGGCAGCAGUAGGGAAUCUUCGGCAAUGGGCGAAAGCUUGACGAAGCGACGCCGCGUGGGUGAUGAAGGUCUUCGGAUCGUAAAACUCUGUUAUUAGGGAAGAACAAAUGUGUAAGUGACUAUGCACGUCUUGACGGUACCUAGUCAGGAAGCCACGGCUAACUACGUG